UUAGAGUUUGAUCCUGGCUCAGAAUCAACGCUGGCGGCGCGCCUAACACAUGCAAGUCGCACGAGAAAGCCGGGGCAACCUGGUGAGUACAGUGGCGUACGGGUGAAUAACACGUGGGUUACCUGCCCUCUGGUGGGGAAUAACCCUGGGAAACCGGGGCUAAUACCGCAUAUUCCCGAAAGGGGAAAGCCGAAAGGCGCCGGAGGAGGGGCCCGCGGCCGAUUAGCUAGUUGGUGGGGUAAUGGCCCACCAAGGCUGUGAUCGGUAGCCGGCCUGAGAGGGCACACGGCCACACUGGCACUGAAACACGGGCCAGACUCCUACGGGAGGCAGCAGUGGGGAAUCUUGCACAAUGGGGGAAACCCUGAUGCAGCGACGCCGCGUGAGCGAUGAAGCCCUUCGGGGUGUAAAGCUCUUUCGGCAGGAACGAUAAUGACGGUACCUGCAGAAGAAGCUGCGGCUAACUACGUGCCAGCAGCCGCGGUAAUACGUAGGCAGCAAGCGUUGUUCGGAGUUACUGGGCGUAAAGAGUGUGUAGGCGGUUUGCCAAGUUUGGUGUGAAAUCUCCCGGCUUAACUGGGAGGGUGCGCCGAAAACUGGCAGGCUCGAGUGCGGGAGAGGAGAGCGGAAUUCCUGGUGUAGCGGUGAAAUGCGUAGAGAUCAGGAGGAACACCUGCGGUGUAGACGGCUCUCUGGACCGCAACUGACGCUGAGACACGAAAGCGUGGGUAGCAAACAGGAUUAGAUACCCUGGUAGUCCACGCCCUAAACGAUGCACACUUGGUGUGGGCAGUUCAUUCUGUCCGUGCCGUAGUUAACGCGUUAAGUGUGCCGCCUGGGGAGUACGGUCGCAAGGCUGAAACUCAAAGGAAUUG
This 875-nucleotide ribosomal RNA is filed under the name uncultured bacterium. RNAcentral's name for it is "bacterial SSU rRNA". It matches the Rfam family "Bacterial small subunit ribosomal RNA", at positions 1 to 912 of the family's 1533-position model. The record is from RNAcentral.